GACGAACGCUGGCGGCGUGCUUAACACAUGCAAGUCGAACGGAAAGGCCCUGCUUUUGUGGGGUUCUCGAGUGGCGAACGGGUGAGUAACACGUGAGUAACCUGCCCUUGACUUUGGGAUAACUUCAGGAAACUGGGGCUAAUACCGGAUAGGAGCUCCUGCUGCAUGGUGGGGGGUGGAAAGUUUCGGCGGUUGGGGAUGGACUCGCGGCUUAUCAGCUUGUUGGUGGGGUAGGGGCUUACCAAGGCUUUGACGGAUAGCCGGCAGUAGAGGGUGACCGGCCACAUUGGGACUGAGAUACGGCCCAGACGCCUACGGGAGGCAGCAGUGGGGAAUAUUGCACAAUGGGCGGAAGCCUGAUGCAGCAACGCCGCGUGCGGGAUGACGGCCUUCGGGUUGUAAACCGCUUUCGCCUGUGACGAAGCGUGAGUGACGGUAAUGGGUAAAGAAGCACCGGCUAACUACGUG
Molecule: ribosomal RNA, 468 nt
Filed under: uncultured bacterium
Lineage: Bacteria
Description: partial 16S ribosomal RNA
Rfam family: Bacterial small subunit ribosomal RNA
Source: RNAcentral